GAUGAAGAACGUAGCGAAAUGCGAUAAGUAAUGUGAAUUGCAGAAUUCAGUGAAUCAUCGAAUCUUUGAACGCACAUUGCGCCCGCCAGCAUUCUGGCGGGCAUGCCUGUUCGAGCGUCAUUUCAACCCUCGAGCCCCCCCGGGGGCCUCGGUGUUGGGGGACGGCACACCAGCCGCCCCCGAAACGCAGUGGCGACCCCGCCGCAGCCUCCCCUGCGUAGUAGCACACACCUCGCACCGGAGCGCGGAGGCGGUCACGCCGUAAAACGCCCAACUUUCUUAGAGUUGACCUCGGAUCAGGUAGGAAUACCCGCUGAACUUAAGCAUAUCAAUAAGCGGAGGA
RNAcentral lists this unclassified non-coding RNA (343 nucleotides) under soil metagenome. RNAcentral describes it as "partial contains 5.8S ribosomal RNA, internal transcribed spacer 2, and large subunit ribosomal RNA". The stretch from base 1 to 120 matches the Rfam family "5.8S ribosomal RNA", at positions 35 to 154 of the family's 154-position model. The record is from RNAcentral.